Molecule: non-coding RNA, 65 nt
Organism: Solanum tuberosum (potato)
Lineage: Eukaryota; Viridiplantae; Streptophyta; Magnoliopsida; Solanales; Solanaceae
Source: Rfam
AUGUUCGUAGGAAGGAGAGAUGUUUGCAUAUCCCUCGUCAAGGAUGGGAAUAUCCUUCGAUCUUU